GGGGAUGUAGCUCAGUGGGAGAGCACACGACUGAAGCUCGUGCCGCGGGGGUUCGAUUCCCUCCUUCCCCA
This 71-nucleotide transfer RNA is filed under the name Candidatus Pacearchaeota archaeon. Its description in RNAcentral is "tRNA-Phe". It matches the Rfam family "tRNA". Rfam says of the family: Transfer RNA (tRNA) molecules are approximately 80 nucleotides in length. Their secondary structure includes four short double-helical elements and three loops (D, anti-codon, and T loops). The record is from RNAcentral. Lineage: Archaea; Nanobdellati.